Non-coding RNA from Nicotiana tabacum (common tobacco), 1191 nucleotides. NCBI's taxonomy places the organism in Eukaryota, Viridiplantae, Streptophyta, Magnoliopsida, Solanales, Solanaceae. The record is from RefSeq and is a predicted model, not a curated record.
GACAUUGUUUAGGCAAUGUAUCAAGAGCACUAGAGAUGCGAACACGAUUUCAGAUUUUAUGGGUAUAGGAAUAUCGUAAAAAAAUAAAUAAUUCUAUAGAAUAAAGCCAUUUGAAUAAGGAAAUUCUCACGUCAUUUCUCCAAAUAGUCUCCAAAUACUUAUCCAAAGCAAAACUUAAAAUAGAUCAAAAAUGCUCCUCAAGACUUGCAUCCCUUCCUCCGCCAUAACCACAACAUCUCCACUUCUUUCCCUCACCAAAUCCUCUUUACCUUUCUCCCAAAACCUCCGUAAAGUUUCAACCUUUCCACGCACUUCCAAAACCCCAUCUCUUUAUUCUUCCCCUAAAAUGAGUUGGCUCAACAAAUUGGGUUUUGGUGCAAAAACUGAUAGUACAGCAAUGGACUCAUCUUCCUCUGCAAUUGCACAAGGUCCUGAUGAUGACAUCCCUGCACCGGGUCAACAAUUUGCUCAAUUCGGAGCUGGCUGUUUUUGGGGCGUUGAAUUGGCUUUUCAAAGAGUGCCUGGUGUUACCAAAACUGAAGUUGGGUAUACCCAGGGGUAUUUACAUAAUCCUUCCUAUGAAGAUAUUUGCUCGGGAACUACUUUUCAUUCUGAGGUUGUUAGAGUUCAGUAUGAUCCUAAGGAGUGUAAUUUUGACACCUUGCUUGAUGUUUUUUGGGAUCGUCAUGACCCCACUACCCUUAAUCGUCAGGGUAAUGAUGUGGGCACCCAAUACAGAUCCGGGAUUUACUUCUAUACACCUGAGCAAGAGAAAGCAGCACUUGAAUCCCGGGACAAACAGCAAAAGAUAUUGAACAGGAAUAUUGUUACGGAGAUCUUGCCUGCUAAGAAGUUUUACAGAGCUGAGGAGUAUCAUCAGCAGUACCUUGCAAAGGGCGGUCGUUUUGGUUUCAGGCAGUCUACUGAGAAAGGUUGCAAUGAUCCCAUCCGAUGCUACGGUUAAGGCAGUUCUAUUUGCAGGAGAAAAUAAAUGGAUUUCCUGUUUGUUCUUGUAAGCUGCUAUGGUUGUUUAUAGGCUUGAAGUUGUGCUUCUGAAGUAGUGUAUUUAAUCUACACCUUAUUUAUUUUACAGGAAAUAGCAAACGGUAUAUUAUUGCAGUUGCAGAUUGUUUCAUCUUUGCUAGUAUGAUUACGAGUGAAAGCUCUUAAUGCAAUCUUACAUUGUACAUA